Molecule: microRNA precursor, 91 nt
Filed under: Canis lupus familiaris (dog)
Lineage: Eukaryota; Metazoa; Chordata; Mammalia; Carnivora; Canidae
Also listed under: 1 other name
Description: mir-8799 microRNA precursor family
Rfam family: mir-8799 microRNA precursor family
Source: Rfam by way of RNAcentral
GGGGGGAGGCCGGAUCCUGGGCUGUGUCCCGGCGCCCUGUGCACCUGGGCCUGUGCUGUUCGGAUUCGUGCUCCCGGCCGCGCAGCGCCCU